RNAcentral lists this ribosomal RNA (240 nucleotides) under uncultured bacterium. RNAcentral's name for it is "16S ribosomal RNA". The record is from RNAcentral.
CUCAGUCCCAGUGUGGCUGACCAUCCUCUCAGACCAGCUACCCGUAAGCCUUGGGAGGCCGUUACCCUACCAACAAGCUGAUGGUACGCGGGCCCCUCCCCAAGCGGCAGGUUCCGAAGAAUCCCCACCUUUAAUCUUCCCCGGAUGCCCGGAGGGACCACAUUCGGUAUUAGCCCCCGUUUCCAGGGGUUGUCCCCAACUCAGGGGUAGGUUACCCACGCGUUACUCACCCUUCCGCCA